GCUAAGGCAGAUAUUUCCAGAGGUACAAACAGAGCGGAUGGUUGCAUGAUGGCCUCUUUCAGUUUUGUCAACUGAGCGUCUACUAGUGAGGCUCAGCAAGUUCUUGUCAUGAUCAGCCCUCUCCAAGAAAGGUUUGUAGAAAAUUGUAAUCAAUAUUCAUUUAAUCCUCUAACCUGAAUCUUUUGGUGAAUUAACUUAAUUAUAUCUGUCUUAAUUCAUAUGUUUAACCAGCAAUAGUAAUUAAACAUGGGGUUAAUAGACAUAUUUUUGUUUUACAGCUGAAGAGCAAAAACACAAACAACAUCAGUCCUGUUGGGGAUGAGGAAUGAACAUGGCUCUAUUGUGCCCAAAUAGAAAAGAGUGAAAAGACUAAAGAGAAGUGGGUCUGAGGCCAGAGAUGGAGGAGUCAGUGGUCACCAAAUGCAGCGCUGCAGCCUGAAACUGUGAAGACUGGAUUCCCAAACAGCUCUGUGACCGCACAGAUGUUACGGCCAUAAAAGAAACUUCACAACUGAGAGCCCAUACCUCCAACAACCUUCAACAGGAAUCAAUGGACAUCUACGCAAGGUUUUUCUUUUGUUGAGGACCGUCAGAGACUCCAGCCAGACGAACCAUGGAUUGCUCUCACUGUUACCAUCAGACAGACAUUAUCACAGAACCAGCACCAGCAGACUGCAAGACAAGUUCCUUCCACAGGCAAUCAGACUGAACUAAAUUCGUACCAGUAACACCACACACACACACACACACACACACACACACACACACACACACACACACACACACACACACACACACACACACACACACACACACACACCAGCAGCUCAUACUGUAUGCACUGCACUCUAUCAGCUACACUGACUGGACUCUCACUCACUAUUAUUCUGCAGCCUGAUAUUCUGUUUGCACUAAUUCAUACU
Molecule: long non-coding RNA, 923 nt
Organism: Carassius auratus (goldfish)
Lineage: Eukaryota; Metazoa; Chordata; Actinopteri; Cypriniformes; Cyprinidae
Exons: 4
Source: RefSeq, a predicted model, not a curated record